AGUCUCCUGGUGGUGAACUAUCUCAACCUCCUUCUCUCUCCCUCUCUCUCCUGGUCCUAAUGUACCAGCUCCUCUCCUGUUGCUCCUGUUUCUGUUAAUACAUGUACAUGUAGUUUUAGCCUUCACGAGACGAGGGAUUUAUUGAUGUGCUUUCUAUUUGUCAUUGAAGAUUUGAAUAUCGAUGUUCUCAUCCAGUGGUGGUAGGAUUGUGUUGAUGGUCCUGUUCCUUUAUCAAGAACCUACUCUCUCUCUCCAAUAGGGUCACCAGUGGGAGGGGCUGGGGGUGGAGUUUACAAUGAUAGCAAUCAGAUAUCAGCUUUCUUUGAUGUCCUCAAAUCUUGUUCCCACGUUUUUGAGUAUAUUGGAAGAAUAGCAAUCAAUAAGAAAUGGUUGUGGACCUGAACUAUAUCAUCUCAAGGAUCUGCACUUUAUAUACUGAAGAUUUGUAGACUGGAUUGAGGAACGAAGGAAUCAGACUGGUCUAUUAAUUCUUUUAAUUCAAAUCACUGUACUCUUGUUUGUACAUGUACAUGUACAUAUACUACUCUACAUGUAUGCCUGAAGUGUGUGCAAUGUUACUUUGUUGUCAUUGUUCAUGAAUUACUCUCA
Amphimedon queenslandica is the source of this 609-nucleotide long non-coding RNA. RefSeq lists it as uncharacterized. The transcript has 4 exons. Lineage: Eukaryota; Metazoa; Porifera; Demospongiae; Haplosclerida; Niphatidae. The record is from RefSeq and is a predicted model, not a curated record.